Molecule: long non-coding RNA, 193 nt
Organism: Ctenocephalides felis (cat flea)
Lineage: Eukaryota; Metazoa; Arthropoda; Insecta; Siphonaptera; Pulicidae
Exons: 3
Source: RefSeq, a predicted model, not a curated record
CGUGCCCCGAGCUGAUUGCCAGAUUUAUGGAAAAGGUGAAUAAGGCUAGUAAAUUUGAGAAGCGUGAAAUCAGAACGGCGCCUAAGCAUACGGAGAGAUUUACUUUGACUAUGAAGUCUACAGGCAGACGUAUUUCUAAACGUAAUGGAAAUAAACAAAGAGCUACCUAUUAUGAUGCUGAAUAAAGAAGGGA